This 253-nucleotide ribosomal RNA is filed under the name uncultured bacterium. RNAcentral describes it as "partial 16S ribosomal RNA". It matches the Rfam family "Bacterial small subunit ribosomal RNA", at positions 524 to 776 of the family's 1533-position model. The record is from RNAcentral.
UACAGAGGGUGCAAGCGUUAAUCGGAAUUACUGGGCGUAAAGCGCGCGUAGGUGGUUCAUCAAGUUGGAUGUGAAAUCCCCGGGCUCAACCUGGGAACUGCAUCCAAAACUGGUGAGCUAGAGUAGGGCAGAGGGUGGUGGAAUUUCCUGUGUAGCGGUGAAAUGCGUAGAUAUAGGAAGGAACACCAGUGGCGAAGGCGACCACCUGGGCUCAUACUGACACUGAGGUGCGAAAGCGUGGGGAGCAAACAGG